UUUCCGUAGGUGAACCUGCGGAAGGAUCAUUAAAGAACGCCCCAAUUUUUGAAAUGGGUAAUUCUAAACCGUGUAUACAUACCUUUGUUGCUUUGGCAGGCCGCCCCUCAGGGCUUCGGCUCCGGCUGACUGCGCCUGCCAGAGGACCCAAACUCUUAUGUUUAGUGAUGUCUGAGUACUAUAUAAUAGUUAAAACUUUCAACAACGGAUCUCUUGGUUCUG
This 222-nucleotide unclassified non-coding RNA is filed under the name plant metagenome. RNAcentral's name for it is "partial contains small subunit ribosomal RNA, internal transcribed spacer 1, and 5.8S ribosomal RNA". The record is from RNAcentral.